RNAcentral lists this ribosomal RNA (253 nucleotides) under uncultured bacterium. RNAcentral describes it as "partial 16S ribosomal RNA". It matches the Rfam family "Bacterial small subunit ribosomal RNA", at positions 524 to 776 of the family's 1533-position model. The record is from RNAcentral.
UACGUAGGGUGCGAGCGUUAAUCGGAAUUACUGGGCGUAAAGCGUGCGCCGGCGGUUGUGUAAGACAGGUGUGAAAUCCCCGGGCUUAACCUGGGAACUGCGCUUGUGACUGCACGACUGGAGUGUGGCAGAGGGGGGUGGAAUUCCACGUGUAGCAGUGAAAUGCGUAGAGAUGUGGAGGAACACCGAUGGCGAAGUCUGCCCCCUGGGUUAACACUGACGCUCAUGCACGAAAUCGUGGGUAGCAAACAGG